RNAcentral lists this unclassified non-coding RNA (293 nucleotides) under uncultured Helotiaceae. Its description in RNAcentral is "sequence contains ITS1". The stretch from base 1 to 105 matches the Rfam family "5.8S ribosomal RNA", at positions 50 to 154 of the family's 154-position model. Lineage: Eukaryota; Fungi; Ascomycota; Leotiomycetes; Helotiales; Helotiaceae. The record is from RNAcentral.
GAAAUGCGAUAAGUAAUGUGAAUUGCAGAAUUCAGUGAAUCAUCGAAUCUUUGAACGCACAUUGCGCCCCUUGGUAUUCCGAGGGGCAUGCCUGUUCGAGCGUCAUUUAAACCAAUCCAGCUUGCUGGGUCUUGGGCUCUCGCCUCUGGGCGGGCCUCAAAAUCAGUGGCGGCGCCUCCCGGCUCUACGCGUAGUAAUUCUUCUCGCGAUGGGGUCCCGGGUGGUCGCUGGCCAGCAACCCCUAAUUCUUAAAGGUUGACCUCGGAUCAGGUAGGGAUACCCGCUGAACUUAA